UACGUAGGUGGCAAGCGUUGUCCGGAUUUAUUGGGCGUAAAGGGAGCGCAGGCGGUGACUUAAGUCUGAUGUGAAAGCCCACGGCUUAACCGUGGAGGGUCAUUGGAAACUGGUCGACUUGAGUGCAGAAGAGGGAAGUGGAAUUCCAUGUGUAGCGGUGAAAUGCGUAGAGAUAUGGAGGAACACCAGUGGCGAAGGCGGCUUCCUGGUCUGUAACUGACACUGAGGCGCGAAAGCGUGGGGAGCAAACAGGAUUAGAUACCCU
Molecule: ribosomal RNA, 265 nt
Filed under: uncultured prokaryote
Description: partial 16S ribosomal RNA
Rfam family: Bacterial small subunit ribosomal RNA
Source: RNAcentral